This 256-nucleotide ribosomal RNA is filed under the name uncultured bacterium. Its description in RNAcentral is "partial 16S ribosomal RNA". It matches the Rfam family "Bacterial small subunit ribosomal RNA", at positions 793 to 1055 of the family's 1533-position model. The record is from RNAcentral.
GUCCACGCCUAACGAUGUCAACUAGGUGUUGGAAGGUGACUUCCUUAGUACCGCAGCUAACGCGUGAAGUUGACCGCCUGGGAGUACGGCCGCAAGGUUAAACUCAAGGAAUUGACGGGACCCGCACAAGCGGUGGAUGAUGUGGAUUAAUUCGAUGCAACGCGAAACCUUACCUACCCUUGACAUGCCAGGAACUCUGCUGAGAGGUGGAGGUGCCCGAAAGGGAGCCUGGACACAGGUGCUGCAUGGCUGUCGU